GUCCUGGUGGCGAAAUCGGUACACGCGAUAGAUUUAGGAUCUAUUGGAGAACUCCAUGCAGGUUCAAGUCCUGUCCAGGACACCA
RNAcentral lists this transfer RNA (85 nucleotides) under Bacillota bacterium. Its description in RNAcentral is "tRNA-Leu". It matches the Rfam family "tRNA". Rfam says of the family: Transfer RNA (tRNA) molecules are approximately 80 nucleotides in length. Their secondary structure includes four short double-helical elements and three loops (D, anti-codon, and T loops). Lineage: Bacteria; Bacillati; Bacillota. The record is from RNAcentral.